AAGAGAACGAUGGAAAAUUUUUUGUUUAAUACAUUGGCUACUGAAGAAUAAAUCAUGUCUUGGACUACAGCUUUUCUAGCAAUCAUUGCACUAGCACCAUGGUUUGAACCUUCCGCAGGUGUUUGGAUUUAUGAUGACGAAUGAUUUAUAUAAUUGGAAUUCAUUGGAAUUCAUUUACAAUGACGAAUGAUUUAUAUACAUUUUUUUUUUGUUUUCUUUUGUUUAAUAUUAAAAUUAAAUUUUCACACUCCAUAAUUUACUCACAAAACUUCGUUAAAGGGUUAGGCCACCCACCUAAAAACCCUCAAAUUGAUUGAUCAACUCAUUCGGUUGUGCAUUUGAGUUUUGUGUUUCACCAAGCAGAAGAAUUCAAUUAUUCAAAAGCCGAAAACAACAUGAAGGUAAGGUGGAAUAGGAGGAAAUACAUAGAUUAGGGUUAAAACGAUGUGAAACGAAAAAAAGGCUGGACUUAAAAUGGACUUUUAUUUUAAAUUUUUAUAAAUAAUUCUUAAACUGCCAGUGCUGCCCAAAUGUUCCUCAUG
Drosophila bipectinata is the source of this 542-nucleotide long non-coding RNA. RefSeq lists it as uncharacterized. NCBI's taxonomy places the organism in Eukaryota, Metazoa, Arthropoda, Insecta, Diptera, Drosophilidae. The record is from RefSeq and is a predicted model, not a curated record.